AGAGGGUGCGAGCGUUGUCCGGAAUUACUGGGCGUAAAGGGCGCGUAGGCGGCUUGGUAAGUCGGGGGUGAAAGUCAGCGGCUCAACCGCUGGACUGCCUUCGAGACUGCCUGGCUUGAGCAUGGUAGAGGCUGGCGGAAUUCCCGGUGUAGCGGUGGAAUGCGUAGAGAUCGGGAAGAACAUCGGUGGCGAAGGCGGCCAGCUGGGCCAUUGCUGACGCUGAGGCGCGACAGCGUGGGGAGCAAACAGGAUUAGAUACCCUGGUAGUCCACGCCGUAAACGAUGGGUACUAGGCGUCGGGGGGAGCGACCCCUUCGGUGCCGUCGUUAACACAGUAAGUACCCCGCCUGGGGAGUACGGCCGCAAGGCUG
RNAcentral lists this ribosomal RNA (371 nucleotides) under uncultured bacterium. Its description in RNAcentral is "bacterial SSU rRNA". It matches the Rfam family "Bacterial small subunit ribosomal RNA", at positions 527 to 896 of the family's 1533-position model. The record is from RNAcentral.